AGAAGUACACAUUUCUCCCAUCGUGUCCUAACAAAGGUUCACUGUUUUGAUUUCAAGGUCAUAUAUAUGCACUUUCACCAGGAUAGUUUCCUAAACCUAAAGGUCAAAGGUCACUAGAGCUAUGGCCCCCUUCAUAGCAUCUCCACAANAGUCGAGUAAUCAACUAGGUGUGGAAACACACAUGAAGAGAACAGACUCUAGCUGGAGUUCUCACGAUAGCCAAA
RNAcentral lists this long non-coding RNA (224 nucleotides) under Vigna radiata. RNAcentral's name for it is "long non-coding RNA (VRAD_LNC017001)". The record is from RNAcentral. Lineage: Eukaryota; Viridiplantae; Streptophyta; Magnoliopsida; Fabales; Fabaceae.